CCUACGGGGGGCUGCAGUGGGGAAUAUUGCACAAUGGGGGAAACCCUGAUGCAGCGACGCCGCGUGAGUGAAGAAGUAUUUCGGUAUGUAAAGCUCUAUCAGCAGGGAAGAAAUAAAGUCCUUCGGACUUUGGACGGUACCUGACUAAGAAGCCCCGGCUAACUACGUGCCAGCAGCCGCGGUAAUACGUAGGGGGCAAGCGUUAUCCGGAUUUACUGGGUUUAAAGGGAGCGUAGACGGCAGCGCAAGUCUGGAGUGAAAUCCCAUGGCUUAACCAUGGAACUGCUUUGGAAACUGUGCAGCUGGAGUGCAGGAGAGGUAAGCGGAAUUCCUAGUGUAGCGGUGAAAUGCGUAGAUAUUAGGAGGAACACCAGUGGCGAAGGCGGCUUACUGGACUGUAACUGACGUUGAGGCUCGAAAGCGUGGGGAGCAAACAGGAUUAGAUACCCUAGUAGUC
Molecule: ribosomal RNA, 457 nt
Filed under: uncultured bacterium
Lineage: Bacteria
Description: partial 16S ribosomal RNA
Rfam family: Bacterial small subunit ribosomal RNA
Source: RNAcentral